GACGAACGCUGGCGGCGUGCUUAACACAUGCAAGUCGAACGGAAAGGCCCUGCUUUUGUGGGGUGCUCGAGUGGCGAACGGGUGAGUAACACGUGAGUAACCUGCCCUUGACUUUGGGAUAACUUCAGGAAACUGGGGCUAAUACCGGAUAGGAGCUCCUGCUGCAUGGUGGGGGUUGGAAAGUUUCGGCGGUUGUGGAUGGACUCGAGGCUUAUCGGCUUGUUGGUGGGGUAGUGGCUUACCAAGGCUUUGACGGGUAGCCGGCCUGAGAGGGUGACCGGCGACAAUGGGACUGAGAGACGGCCCAGAAUCCUACGGGACGCAAUAGUGGGGAAUAUUGCACAAUGGCGGGAAGCCUGAUGCAGCAAUGCCGCGUGCGGGAUAACGUGCUACGAGUUGAAAACCGAUGUCGCCUGUGACGAGGAGUGAGUGACGGUAAUGGGUAAAGAAGCACCGGCUAACUACGUG
RNAcentral lists this ribosomal RNA (468 nucleotides) under uncultured bacterium. RNAcentral's name for it is "partial 16S ribosomal RNA". It matches the Rfam family "Bacterial small subunit ribosomal RNA", at positions 28 to 507 of the family's 1533-position model. The record is from RNAcentral.